UUGGAGGGCAAGUCUGGUGCCAGCAGCCGCGGUAAUUCCAGCUCCAAUAGCGUAUAUUAAAGUUGUUGCAGUUAAAAAGCUCGUAGUUGAAUUUCGGGGUUAGUAGGUUGGUCGUGCCUCAGGUAUGUACUGAUCUCACUGAUUCCUCCUUCCUGAUGAACCGUAAUGCCAUUAAUUUGGUGUUGCGGGGAAACUGGACUGUUACUUUGAAAAAAUUAGAGUGUUUAAAGCAGGCUAACGCUUGAAUACAUUAGCAUGGAAUAAUGAAAUAGGACGUUCGAUCCUAUUUUGUUGGUUUCUAGGAUUGACGUAAUGAUUAAUAGGGAUAGUUGGGGGCAUUAGUAUUCAAUUGUCAGAGGUGAAAUUCUUGGGUUUAUUGAAGACUAACUACUGCGAAAGCAUUUGCCAAGGAUGUUUUCAUUAAUCAAGAACGAAAGUUAGGGGAUCGAAGACGAUCAGAUACCGUCGUAGUCUUAACCAUAAACUAUGCCGACUAGGGAUCGGAUGAUGUUAAUUUUUUAAUGACUCAUUCGGCGCCUUACGGGAAA
RNAcentral lists this ribosomal RNA (548 nucleotides) under uncultured Glomeromycotina. RNAcentral describes it as "SSU rRNA". It matches the Rfam family "Eukaryotic small subunit ribosomal RNA", at positions 548 to 1097 of the family's 1831-position model. Lineage: Eukaryota; Fungi; Glomeromycota. The record is from RNAcentral.